This is a long non-coding RNA of Poecile atricapillus (Black-capped chickadee), 184 nucleotides long. RefSeq lists it as uncharacterized. The record is from RefSeq and is a predicted model, not a curated record. Lineage: Eukaryota; Metazoa; Chordata; Aves; Passeriformes; Paridae. The transcript has 3 exons.
GUGUGACCGGGUGUGUCCAGGUGUGUCCAGAUGUGACCGGGUGUGUCCAGAUGUGACCAGGUGUGCCUGGGUGUGACCGGGUGUGACCAGGUGUGACCGGGUGUGUCCAGGUGUGUCCAGAUGUGACUGGGUGUGUCCAGGUGUGUCCAGGUGUCCCCAGGUGUCCCCAGGUGUGCCCAGGUGU